UGGGGAAUAUUGGACAAUGGGCGCAAGCCUGAUCCAGCCAUGCCGCGUGGGUGAUGAAGGCCUUAGGGUUGUAAAGCCCUUUCGGCGGGGAAGAUAAUGACGGUACCCGCAGAAGAAGCCCCGGCUAACUUCGUGCCAGCAGCCGCGGUAAUACGAAGGGGGCUAGCGUUGCUCGGAAUUACUGGGCGUAAAGCGCACGUAGGCGGCUUGUUAAGUCGGGGGUGAAAUCCCGGAGCUCAACUCCGGAACUGCCUUCGAUACUGGCAAGCUCGAGCCCGGGAGAGGUGAGUGGAACUGCGAGUGUAGAGGUGAAAUUCGUAGAUAUUCGCAAGAACACCAGUGGCGAAGGCGGCUCACUGGCCCGGUACUGACGCUGAGGUGCGAAAGCGUGGGG
This 394-nucleotide ribosomal RNA is filed under the name uncultured bacterium. RNAcentral's name for it is "bacterial SSU rRNA". It matches the Rfam family "Bacterial small subunit ribosomal RNA", at positions 355 to 766 of the family's 1533-position model. The record is from RNAcentral.